AGGUCAUUUCAAAGAGAGCUUACAGGACGAAAACCAGGAGCUCUUAACGCUGUGACCAAAGACUGAAGUUCUCCAUAGGAUGUCAUAGUCACUCAACAGUGCUAUGUUUUCCUGAGGAGAUAUAAGA
Molecule: small nucleolar RNA, 127 nt
Organism: Pteropus vampyrus (large flying fox)
Lineage: Eukaryota; Metazoa; Chordata; Mammalia; Chiroptera; Pteropodidae
Source: Ensembl